GUAAAGACUGGUUAACUUAAAAUUAUGAAUUUUUAUGGAGUGAUGUUUCUGCCAGCGUAGUGCUGUACUACAUAACUGCUUUAGGAUUUGAAGUAAUUGGUUGCUUUACAAGUGAGAAUCUGCUAAUAUAUAAAAGAAAACAAGAUGUGGUAUGAUUGCAAAUAAGACAACUCUCCGCAAGAGACCAAAUGACACAGAAAUUAACAACUAUAAGGCACCAUACGGCCUUCAACAAUGAGCAAUUCCAUACUGCAUAGUGAGCUAUAAAAGGCCCCGAAAUGACAAAUGUAAAACAAUUCAAACGAGAAAACUAAUGGCCCAAUUCAUGUACCGAAAAUGAACGAAAAACAAAUAUUUAACACAUAAACAAACGACAACCACUGAAUUACAUGCACCUGACCUUGGAGAGGCAUAUACAUACAGAAUGUGGCGGGGUUGAACAUGUAAGGGGGACCCCAACUCUCCUCCUAACCUGGGACAGUGGUGUAACAGUACAACAUAAGAACGAACUAUCAAAUUUAGUUGAAAGAGGCUUAAUUCAUCAGAUGGAUUCAAAUGAAAAUACAUCUAACAAAAACACAGAGUGGAGACGGCUGGGUACUUGUAUAUUCCAACAAUAAACAGACACUUUCUGAUCUGAGUGUACUCGC
RNAcentral lists this long non-coding RNA (650 nucleotides) under Mytilus galloprovincialis (Mediterranean mussel). Lineage: Eukaryota; Metazoa; Mollusca; Bivalvia; Mytilida; Mytilidae. The record is from RNAcentral.